Molecule: ribosomal RNA, 436 nt
Filed under: uncultured bacterium
Lineage: Bacteria
Description: bacterial SSU rRNA
Rfam family: Bacterial small subunit ribosomal RNA
Source: RNAcentral
AGAGUUUGAUCAUGGCUCAGAUUGAACGCUGGCGGCAGGCUUAACACAUGCAAGUCGAGCGGUAACAGAGAUAGCUUGCUAUCUGCUGACGAGCGGCGGACGGGUGAGUAACGCGUAGGAAACUACCCAGUAGUGGGGGACAACAGUUGGAAACGACUGCUAAUACCGCAUACGCUCUACGGAGGAAAGGGGGCUUCGGCUCUCGCUAUUGGAUGUGCCUGCGUGAGAUUAGCUAGUUGGUGAGGUAAGAGCUCACCAAGGCGACGAUCUCUAGCUGGUCUGAGAGGAUGAUCAGCCACACUGGGACUGAGACACGGCCCAGACUCCUACGGGAGCCACCAGUGGGGAAUAUUGGACAAUGGGCGAAANCCUGAUCCAGCCAUGCCGCGUGUGUGAAGAAGGCUUUCGGGUUGUAAAGCACUUUCAUCAGUGAGGA